CAGUGAAUUGUAAUACGACUCACUAUAGGGCGAAUUGGGCCCUCUAGAUGCAUGCUCGAGCGGCCGCCAGUGUGAUGGAUAUCUGCAGAAUUCGCCCUUCAGGCCUAACACAUGCAAGUCGAACGCCCUCUUCGGAGGGAGUGGCAGACGGGUGAGUAACACGUGGGAACGUGCCCGAAGGUACGGAACAACUCCGGGAAACUGGAGCUAAUACCGUAUGUGUCCGCAAGGAGAAAGAUUUAUCGCCUUCGGAUCGGCCCGCGUCAGAUUAGCUAGUUGGUGGGGUAAAAGCCUACCAAGGCGACGAUCUGUAGCUGUUCUUAGAGGAAGACCAGCCACACUGGGACUGAGACACGGCCCAGACUCCUACGGGAGGCAGCAGUGGGGAAUCUUGGACAAUGGGCGCAAGCCUGAUCCAGCCAUGCCGCGUGGAUGACGAAGGCCUUAGGGUUGUAAAAUCCUUUCAGCGGGGACGAUAAUGA
This 482-nucleotide ribosomal RNA is filed under the name uncultured bacterium. RNAcentral describes it as "partial 16S ribosomal RNA". The stretch from base 69 to 482 matches the Rfam family "Bacterial small subunit ribosomal RNA", at positions 1 to 454 of the family's 1533-position model. The record is from RNAcentral.